Non-coding RNA from Styela clava, 137 nucleotides. The record is from RefSeq and is a predicted model, not a curated record. NCBI's taxonomy places the organism in Eukaryota, Metazoa, Chordata, Ascidiacea, Stolidobranchia, Styelidae.
GUGCCGUAAACUAUGAGUAAAGAAAAUAAAAAGCCUUGGUGACUCUUGGCUUCACAGAAAUGUUUUUGUGAAGAGAAAAGGUCCCCCGCGGGUGACAGGUCUACUUUGCUGGUUUCCUGAAGCGCGGGAUCCCUCUU